GGAUUAGAUACCCUGGUAGUCCACGCCGUAAACGAUGAGAACUAGGUGUAGCGGGUAUUGACCCCUGCUGUGCCGGAGCUAACGCAUUAAGUUCUCCGCCUGGGGAGUACGGCCGCAAGGCUAAAACUCAAAGGAAUUGACGGGGGCCCGCACAAGCGGUGGAGCAUGUGGUUUAAUUCGACGCAACGCGAAGAACCUUACCUGGGUUUGACAUCCUCUGCCAGCCCCGGAAACGGGGUCUUUCCUGCUUGCAGGAACAGAGUGACAGGUGCUGCAUGGCUGUCGUCAGCUCGUGCUG
Molecule: ribosomal RNA, 298 nt
Filed under: uncultured bacterium
Lineage: Bacteria
Description: partial 16S ribosomal RNA
Rfam family: Bacterial small subunit ribosomal RNA
Source: RNAcentral